This is a long non-coding RNA of Xenopus laevis (African clawed frog), 622 nucleotides long. RefSeq lists it as uncharacterized. NCBI's taxonomy places the organism in Eukaryota, Metazoa, Chordata, Amphibia, Anura, Pipidae. The record is from RefSeq and is a predicted model, not a curated record. The transcript has 4 exons.
GGGCUACACCAAGAACUCACUGACUGGGAAACUCCAGUUCAGAGCUGGAGGGAUUAUUGCUUGGGGCUGAAGCUGACAAUGCUGGGCUUGCUGGGAUCUGAUAGAAAAAGCAAAUGAAGUGCGGGGAUAGGAGAAAUGACAUAUUGGGAGCUGAGUGACGCGGACACCUAUAAACUGAAUAUGUGCCUGACCAGAAAGUGAGGGACAAUGGCAUCCGCCUUCUGCUCUCCAAAGGGAGGAUUAUCCGAGAUGAGCAGACGUUUACUGACCGGAGCCUCUACACGGCGGACAGCGAAGAUGAGGACGACCGGAUGAGGUGGAGGAAGGAUAUUAAGCAGGAGAAGCCGUGCUCCACGUCGGGGAUGGAGGAUAAAGCGGAAACACAGAAACCACUUAACAUGUUCUUUGAAAGUGUCAAGUCGGAGCUCAGGAACGGAUCCUCCGAAUAUUCCGAUAUUACUGAUUCCGAGGGAUCCGAAGACAAUUGCACUAACCAGGUAUGGGGGGGGGGUUAUUGGGAAAAGGAAAUGGGAUAUUGGGGUUACCCCUAAGUUCCCAACAUGUCCGUUUAGGGCAGAGACACGCUCAGAUUCGGGGAGAUUAGUCGCCCGGCGACAAAUCG